Molecule: ribosomal RNA, 217 nt
Filed under: uncultured bacterium
Lineage: Bacteria
Description: partial 16S ribosomal RNA
Rfam family: Bacterial small subunit ribosomal RNA
Source: RNAcentral
UGAGCAAUCUGCCCUUCACAUCGGAAUAACCAUUGGAAACGAUGGCUAAUACCGAAUAUGACUUCGGAUCGCAUGAUCUGAAGUGGAAAGCUCCGGCGGUGAAGGAUGAGCUCGCGGCCUAUCAGCUUGUUGGUGAGGUAAUAGCUCACCAAGGCGAUGGACGGGUAGCCGGCCUGAGAGGGUGACCGGCCACACUGGGACUGAGACACCGGCACGA